RNAcentral lists this ribosomal RNA (465 nucleotides) under Vreelandella stevensii. Its description in RNAcentral is "partial 16S ribosomal RNA". It matches the Rfam family "Bacterial small subunit ribosomal RNA", at positions 338 to 795 of the family's 1533-position model. Lineage: Bacteria; Pseudomonadati; Pseudomonadota; Gammaproteobacteria; Oceanospirillales; Halomonadaceae. The record is from RNAcentral.
CCUACGGGCGGCAGCAGUGGGGAAUAUUGGACAAUGGGGGCAACCCUGAUCCAGCCAUGCCGCGUGUGUGAAGAAGGCCCUCGGGUUGUAAAGCACUUUCAGUGAGGAAGAACGCCUGGUGGUUAAUACCCAUCAGGAAAGACAUCACUCACAGAAGAAGCACCGGCUAACUCCGUGCCAGCAGCCGCGGUAAUACGGAGGGUGCGAGCGUUAAUCGGAAUUACUGGGCGUAAAGCGCGCGUAGGUGGCUUGAUAAGCCGGUUGUGAAAGCCCCGGGCUCAACCUGGGAACGGCAUCCGGAACUGUCAAGCUAGAGUGCAGGAGAGGAAGGUAGAAUUCCCGGUGUAGCGGUGAAAUGCGUAGAGAUCGGGAGGAAUACCAGUGGCGAAGGCGGCCUUUUGGACUGACACUGACACUGAGGUGCGAAAGCGUGGGUAGCAAACAGGAUUAGAUACCCCAGUAGUC